AUUGAACGCUGGCGGCAUGCUUUACACAUGCAAGUCGAACGGUAACAGGGUGCUUGCACCGCUGACGAGUGGCGAACGGGUGAGUAAUGCGUCGGAACGUGCCGAGUAGUGGGGGAUAACGCAGCGAAAGUUGUACUAAUACCGCAUACGUACUGAGGUAGAAAGUGGGGGACCUUCGGGCCUCACGCUAUUCGAGCGGCCGACGUCUGAUUAGCUAGUAGGUGAGGUAAAGGCUCACCUAGGCGACGAUCAGUAGCGGGGCUGAGAGGAUGAUCAGCCAAACUGGGACUGAGACACGGCCCAGACUCCUACGGGAGGCAGCAGUGGGGAAUUUUGGACAAUGGGCGAAAGCCUGAUCCAGCCAUGCCGCGUGUCUGAAGAAGGCCUUCGGGUUGUAAAGGACUUUUGUCAGGGAGGAAAUCCCUAGUGCUAAUAACACUGGGGGAUGACAGUACCUGAAGAAUAAGCACCGGCUAACUACGUGCCAGCCGCCGCUGUAA
RNAcentral lists this ribosomal RNA (500 nucleotides) under uncultured bacterium. Its description in RNAcentral is "partial 16S ribosomal RNA". It matches the Rfam family "Bacterial small subunit ribosomal RNA", at positions 30 to 523 of the family's 1533-position model. The record is from RNAcentral.